Molecule: unclassified non-coding RNA, 329 nt
Filed under: soil metagenome
Description: partial contains 5.8S ribosomal RNA, internal transcribed spacer 2, and large subunit ribosomal RNA
Rfam family: 5.8S ribosomal RNA (bases 1-120)
Source: RNAcentral
GAUGAAGAACGUAGCGAAAUGCGAUAAGUAAUGUGAAUUGCAGAAUUCAGUGAAUCAUCGAAUCUUUGAACGCACAUUGCGCCCUCUGGUAUUCCGGGGGGCAUGCCUGUUCGAGCGUCAUUAUAACCACUCAAGCUCUCGCUUGGUAUUGGGGUUCGCGGUUUCGCGGCCCCUAAAAUCAGUGGCGGUGCCUGUCGGCUCUACGCGUAGUAAUACUUCUCGCGAUUGAGUUCGAUAGGUCUACUUGCCAGUAACCCCCAAUUUUUACAGGUUGACCUCGGAUCAGGUAGGGAUACCCGCUGAACUUAAGCAUAUCAGUAAGCGGAGGA